Molecule: ribosomal RNA, 369 nt
Filed under: Triticum aestivum (bread wheat)
Lineage: Eukaryota; Viridiplantae; Streptophyta; Magnoliopsida; Poales; Poaceae
Description: partial small subunit ribosomal RNA
Source: RNAcentral
AUGCCAAAUCCGACUUAUGAGAAGUUGGACCGAGUGUUGGCUAGCGUAGAAUGGGAACAGAAGUUUCCCCUGGUGACCGUCCAGGCCUUGUCCCGUGGUAUUUCUGACCAUACUCCAUUAUUUGUCGACUCUGGUGCACCCACACACCUAGGGAACAAGAAUGUGUUCUCCUUUGAGAUGGCUUGGUUUGAACGAGAUGGAUUCCUGGAUCUCGUGGCCAGAGAGUGGGCUAAGGAUUCAGGAGGGAGGACCGCUCUUCAGCGCUGGCAGAAUAAGAUUAGACACUUGAGGAGUUUCCUACGUGGGUGGGCUAAGCAUUUGAGUGGGAUUUAUAAGGUCGAAAAGGAAAAGCUCCUUGCCCUUAUAUAG